RNAcentral lists this ribosomal RNA (573 nucleotides) under Citrobacter braakii. RNAcentral describes it as "bacterial SSU rRNA". It matches the Rfam family "Bacterial small subunit ribosomal RNA", at positions 90 to 661 of the family's 1533-position model. Lineage: Bacteria; Pseudomonadati; Pseudomonadota; Gammaproteobacteria; Enterobacterales; Enterobacteriaceae. The record is from RNAcentral.
GACGAGUGGCGGACGGGUGAGUAAUGUCUGGGAAACUGCCCGAUGGAGGGGGAUAACUACUGGAAACGGUAGCUAAUACCGCAUAACGUCGCAAGACCAAAGAGGGGGACCUUCGGGCCUCUUGCCAUCGGAUGUGCCCAGAUGGGAUUAGCUAGUAGGUGGGGUAACGGCUCACCUAGGCGACGAUCCCUAGCUGGUCUGAGAGGAUGACCACCCACACUGGAACUGAGACACGGUCCAGACUCCUACGGGAGGCAGCAGUGGGGAAUAUUGCACAAUGGGCGCAAGCCUGAUGCAGCCAUGCCGCGUGUAUGAAGAAGGCCUUCGGGUUGUAAAGUACUUUCAGCGAGGAGGAAGGUGUUGUGGUUAAUAACCGCAGCAAUUGACGUUACUCGCAGAAGAAGCACCGGCUAACUCCGUGCCAGCAGCCGCGGUAAUACGGAGGGUGCAAGCGUUAAUCGGAAUUACUGGGCGUAAAGCGCACGCAGGCGGUCUGUCAAGUCGGAUGUAAAAUCCCCGGGCUCACCUGGGAACUGCUCCGAAACUGGCAGGCUAGAGUCUUGUAGAGGGGGG